This 491-nucleotide ribosomal RNA is filed under the name uncultured bacterium. RNAcentral's name for it is "partial 16S ribosomal RNA". It matches the Rfam family "Bacterial small subunit ribosomal RNA", at positions 29 to 507 of the family's 1533-position model. The record is from RNAcentral.
AGUGAACGCUGGCGGUAGGCCUAACACAUGCAAGUCGAACGGCAGCACAGUAAGAGCUUGCUCUUACGGGUGGCGAGUGGCGGACGGGUGAGGAAUACAUCGGAAUCUACUUUUUCGUGGGGGAUAACGUAGGGAAACUUACGCUAAUACCGCAUACGACCUACGGGUGAAAGCAGGGGAUCUUCGGACCUUGCGCGAUUGAAUGAGCCGAUGUCGGAUUAGCUAGUUGGCGGGGUAAAGGCCACCAAGGCGACGAUCCGUAGCUGGUCUGAGAGGAUGAUCAGCCACCCUGGAACUGAGACACGGUCCAGACUCCUACGGGAGGCAGCAGUGGGGAAUAUUGGACAAUGGGCGCAAGCCUGAUCCAGCCAUACCGCGUGGGUGAAGAAGGCCUUCGGGUUGUAAAGCCCUUUUGUUGGGAAAGAAAAGCAGCAGGUUAAUACCCCGCUGUUCUGACGGUACCCAAAGAAUAAGCACCGGCUAACUUCGUG